RNAcentral lists this ribosomal RNA (760 nucleotides) under Coprinopsis marcescibilis. RNAcentral's name for it is "eukaryotic LSU rRNA". It matches the Rfam family "Eukaryotic large subunit ribosomal RNA", at positions 131 to 881 of the family's 3401-position model. The record is from RNAcentral. Lineage: Eukaryota; Fungi; Basidiomycota; Agaricomycetes; Agaricales; Psathyrellaceae.
UGGCCGUCCGAGUUGUAAUCUAGAGAAGUGUUACCCGUGCUGGACCGUGUAUAAGUCUCCUGGAAUGGAGCGUCAUAGAGGGUGAGAAUCCCGUCUUUGACACGGACUACCAGUGCUUUUGUGGUGCUCUCAAAGAGUCGAGUUGUUUGGGAAUGCAGCUCAAAAUGGGUGGUAAAUUCCAUCUAAAGCUAAAUAUUGGCGAGAGACCGAUAGCGAACAAGUACCGUGAGGGAAAGAUGAAAAGAACUUUGGAAAGAGAGUUAAACAGUACGUGAAAUUGCUGAAAGGGAAACGCUUGAAGUCAGUCGCGUUGGCUGGAAAUCAACCUUGCUCUUGCUGGGUGUACUUUCUAGUCGACGGGCCAGCAUCAGUUUUGACCGGUGGAAAAAGUCCAAGGGAAUGUGGCAUCUUCGGAUGUGUUAUAGCCCUUGGUCGUAUACACUGGUUGGGACUGAGGAAUUCAGCACGCCGAAAGGCCGGGUCUUUGGACCACGUUCGUGCUUAGGAUGCUGGCAUAAUGGCUUUAAUCGACCCGUCUUGAAACACGGACCAAGGAGUCUAACAUGCCUGCGAGUGUUUGGGUGGGAAAACCCGAGCGCGUAAUGAAAUGAAAUUGGAUCCCUGUCUUGGGGAGCACCGACGCCCGGACCAGACGUUCUCUGACGGAUCCGCGGUAGAGCAUGUAUGUUGGGACCCGAAAGAUGGUGAACUAUGCCUGAAUAGGGUGAAGCCAGAGGAAACUCUGGUGGAGGCUCGUAGC